This 244-nucleotide long non-coding RNA is filed under the name Ananas comosus (pineapple). RNAcentral's name for it is "long non-coding RNA (ACOM_LNC042002)". The record is from RNAcentral. Lineage: Eukaryota; Viridiplantae; Streptophyta; Magnoliopsida; Poales; Bromeliaceae.
UCUCUCCUCUUUUUUUUUCUCUCGUUCUUUUUUUCUUUCUCUUCCCAGAGAGCAGGCUCGCCCGCACACCCCAGCACCUUCCUCGUCUCCGACCCUGCCGAAGCCGCACUGCGACUUUUUUUUUUUUCCUCUCCGACUCUCCUCCACCGUUUCCGACGACGACGCCUCUCUCGCCCUUCCCCGUCCUUCUCGUCCUCUCCCUCUCCUUUCUUCUCUGCUGCCUCCGACGACGACGUAUCUUCGC